This 79-nucleotide ribosomal RNA is filed under the name Blautia wexlerae. Its description in RNAcentral is "partial 16S ribosomal RNA". It matches the Rfam family "Bacterial small subunit ribosomal RNA", at positions 1 to 79 of the family's 1533-position model. The record is from RNAcentral. Lineage: Bacteria; Bacillati; Bacillota; Clostridia; Lachnospirales; Lachnospiraceae. RNAcentral also lists the same sequence under 1 other name.
UUAUCAGAGAGUUUGAUCCUGGCUCAGGAUGAACGCUGGCGGCGUGCUUAACACAUGCAAGUCGAGCGAAGCAGUUAAG